GUAAUAGCUCACCAAGGCGAUGACGGGUAGCUGGUCUGAGAGGAUGAUCAGCCACACUGGAACUGAGACACGGUCCAGACUCCUACGGGAGGCAGCAGUGGGGAAUUUUGGGCAAUGGGCGCAAGCCUGACCCAGCGACACUGCGUGGGUGAUGACGGUCUUUGGAUUGUAAAACCCUUUUAUGGAGGAGUAAGGCGGGAAGGAGGAAAUGCCUUUCCGUUUGACAGUACUCCAUGAAUAAGCCCCAGCCAACUACGUGCCAGCAGCUGCGGUAAUACGUAGGGGGCAAGCGUUGUCCGGAAUUACUGGGUGUAAAGGGUGUGCAGGCGUCUCCCUAAGUUGAUUGUGAAAGCCCGAAGCUCAACUUCGGAACGGCAGUCAAUACUGGGGGGAUGGAGGUUAUGGGAGGGAAGUGGAAUUCUCGGUGUAGCGGUGAAAUGCGUAGAUAUCGAGAGGAACACCGGUGGCGAAGGCGGCUUCCUAUCAUAGACCUGACGCUCAUACACGAAAGCUAGGGGAGCAAACAGGAUUAGAUACCCUGGUAGUCCUAGCCCUAAACGAUGAAUACUAGGUGUUGGAGGAUCAAAUCCUUCAGUGUCGUAGCUAACGCGUUAAGUAUUCCACCUGGAAAGUACGGU
RNAcentral lists this ribosomal RNA (638 nucleotides) under uncultured bacterium. Its description in RNAcentral is "bacterial SSU rRNA". It matches the Rfam family "Bacterial small subunit ribosomal RNA", at positions 257 to 886 of the family's 1533-position model. The record is from RNAcentral.